Molecule: ribosomal RNA, 360 nt
Filed under: uncultured bacterium
Lineage: Bacteria
Description: partial 16S ribosomal RNA
Rfam family: Bacterial small subunit ribosomal RNA
Source: RNAcentral
CCUACGGGAGGCAGCAGUGAGGAAUAUUGGUCAAUGGCCGGAAGGCUGAACCAGCCAAGCCGCGUGAAGGAUGAAGGUGCCAAGCAUUGUAAACUUCUUUUGUCAAGGGACAAAAUCAGGCUCGAGAGCCUGACCGAGGGUACUUGAAGAAAAAGCAUCGGCUAACUCCGUGCCAGCAGCCGCGGUAAUACGGGGGAUGCGAGCGUUAUCCGGAUUUAUUGGGUUUAAAGGGUGCGUAGGCGGACUGUUAAGUCAGCGGUAAAAGCCCGGGGCUGAACCCCGGCGAGCAGUUGAAACUGGUUGGCUUGAGAGGUCGAGAGGUAGGCGGAAUGCGCAGUGUAGCGGUGAAAUGCGUAGAGA